AAUAUUGGUAAAUGGGCAAAAGCCUGAUCUAGCCAUGCCGCGUGUUUGAAGAAGGUCUUCGGUUUGUAAAGUACUUUAAGUAGGGAGGAAUGGCCGUAAGUUAAUACCCUGCUGUUUUGACGUUACCGACAGAUUAAGCACCGGCUAACUUCGUGCCAGCAGCCGCGGUAAUACGAAGGGUGCAAGCAUUAAUCGGAAUUACCGGGCGUAAAGCGCGCGUAGGUGGUUCGUUAAGUUGGAUGUGAAAGCCCCGGGCUCAACCUGGGAACUGCAUCCAAAACUGGCGAGCUAGAGUACGGUAGAGGGUGGUGGAAUUUCCUGUGUAGCGGUGAAAUGCGUAGAUAUAGGAAGGAACACCAGUGGCGAAGGCGACCACCUGGGCUAAUACUGACACUGAGGUGCGAAAGCGUGGGGAGCAAACAGG
This 424-nucleotide ribosomal RNA is filed under the name uncultured bacterium. Its description in RNAcentral is "partial 16S ribosomal RNA". It matches the Rfam family "Bacterial small subunit ribosomal RNA", at positions 360 to 776 of the family's 1533-position model. The record is from RNAcentral.